RNAcentral lists this ribosomal RNA (497 nucleotides) under uncultured bacterium. Its description in RNAcentral is "partial 16S ribosomal RNA". It matches the Rfam family "Bacterial small subunit ribosomal RNA", at positions 28 to 507 of the family's 1533-position model. The record is from RNAcentral.
GAUGAACGCUGGCGGCGUGCCUAAUACAUGCAAGUCGAGCGAACAGAUAAGGAGCUUGCUCCUUUGACGUUAGCGGCGGACGGGUGAGUAACACGUGGGUAACCUAUCUAUAAGACUGGAAUAACUUCGGGAAACCGGGGCUAAUGCCGGAUAAUAUGUUGAACCGCAUGGUUCAAUAGUGAAAGGCGGCUUUGCUGUCACUUAUAGAUGGAUCCGCGCCGUAUUAGCUAGUUGGUAAGGUAACGGCUUACCAAGGCAACGAUACGUAGCCGACCUGAGAGGGUGAUCGGCCACACUGGAACUGAGACACGGUCCAGACUCCUACGGGAGGCAGCAGUAGGGAAUCUUCCGCAAUGGGCGAAAGCCUGACGGAGCAACGCCGCGUGAGUGAUGAAGGUCUUCGGAUCGUAAAACUCUGUUAUUAGGGAAGAACAAAUGCGUAAGUAACUGUGCGCGUCUUGACGGUACCUAAUCAGAAAGCCACGGCUAACUACGUG